This 495-nucleotide ribosomal RNA is filed under the name uncultured bacterium. Its description in RNAcentral is "partial 16S ribosomal RNA". It matches the Rfam family "Bacterial small subunit ribosomal RNA", at positions 28 to 507 of the family's 1533-position model. The record is from RNAcentral.
GACGAACGCUGGCGGCGUGCCUAAUACAUGCAAGUAGAACGCUGAAGCAGUAGCUUGCUUCUCUGGAUGAGUUGCGAACGGGUGAGUAACGCGUAGGUAACCUGCCUUGUAGCUGGGGAUAACUUUUGGAAACGAUAGCUAAUACCGCAUAAGAGUAGAUGUCGCAUGACAUUUGCUUAAAAGGUGCAACUGCACCACUACCAGAUGCACCUGCGUUGUAUUAGGUAGGUGGUGAGGUAACGCCUCACCAAGGCAACUAUACAUAGCCGAACUGAGAGGGGGGUCGGCCAACCUGGGAAUGGGACACGGCCCAGACUCCUACGGGGGGCAGCAGUAGGGAAUCUUCGGCAAUGGGCGGAAGUCUGAACGAGCAACGCCGCGUGAGUGAACAAGGUUUUCGGAUCGUAAAGCUCUGUUGUAAGGGAAGAAAGAGUGUGAGAGUGGAAAGUUCACGCUGUGACGGUAUCUUACCAGAAAGGGACGGCUAACUACGUG